RNAcentral lists this ribosomal RNA (303 nucleotides) under uncultured bacterium. RNAcentral's name for it is "partial 16S ribosomal RNA". It matches the Rfam family "Bacterial small subunit ribosomal RNA", at positions 507 to 809 of the family's 1533-position model. The record is from RNAcentral.
AGCAGUCGCCGCGGGAAUACGAAGGGUGCAAGCGUUACUCGGAAUUACUGGGCGUAAAGCGCACGUAGGCGGCUUGGUAAGUUAGAGGUGAAAGCCCGGAGCUCAACUCCGGAAUUGCCUUUAAGACUGCCGAGCUAGUAGGUGAGAGAGGUAAGUGGAAUUCCGAGUGUAGAGGUGAAAUUCGUAGAUAUUCGGAAGAACACCAGUGGCGAAGGCGGCUUACUGGCUCAUUCUAGACGCUGAGGUGCGAAAGCGUGGGGAGCAAACAGGAUUAGAUACCCGAGUAGUCCCUGUCUCUUAUAA